Long non-coding RNA from Cyanistes caeruleus (blue tit), 1572 nucleotides. The record is from Ensembl. NCBI's taxonomy places the organism in Eukaryota, Metazoa, Chordata, Aves, Passeriformes, Paridae.
AUGCCCCGGGAUAUUUUUGGGAGCUGCAGCGUCAGGCCGGGAAUGCUGAGCCUGUCCAGAUGUGCAGCCAGGCAGCCGCGGAAUCCCGGGAGUUUGGUUGGGAUUCCCUGCGAUUCCCAGCGAGUUUCCCGCCUCACUCCGGAUCAGGAGUGGAUUCCCAGCCUUUGGAAGCUCAUUCCUGGUCCUUGGAAUCUCAUUCCUGGUCCUUGGAAUCUCAUUCCUGGCCCUUGGAAUCUCAUUCCCAGCCUUUGGAAGCUCAUUCCCGGCCUUUGGAAGCUCAUUCCUGGUCCUUGGAAGCUCAUUCCUGGUCCUUGGAAUCUCAUUCCUGGUCCUUGGAAGCUCAUUCCCAGCCUUUGGAAUCUCAUUCCUGGUCCUUGGAAGCUCAUUCCUGGUCCUUGGAAGCUCAUUCCUGGUCCUUGGAAGCUCAUUCCCAGCCUUUGGAAGCUCAUUCCUGGUCCGUGGAAGCUCAUUCCUGGUCCUUGGAAUCUCAUUCCUGGUCUUUGGAAUCUCAUUCCUGGUCUUUGGAAUCUCAUUCCUGGUCCUUGGAAUCUCAUUCCUGGUCCUUGGAAGCUCAUUCCUGGUCCUUGGAAGCUCAUUCCCAGCCUUUGGAAUCUCAUUCCCAGCCUUUGGAAUCUCAUUCCUGGUCCUUGGAAUCUCCUCAUUCCCAGCCUUUGGAAUCUCAUUCCCAGCCUUUGGAAUCUCAUUCCUGGUCCUUGGAAUCUCAUUCCUGGUCCUUGGAAGCUCAUUCCUGGUCCUUGGAAUCUCAUUCCUGGUCCUUGGAAUCUCAUUCCUGGUCCUUGGAAUCUCAUUCCUGGCCCUUGGAAGCUCAUUCCUGGUCCUUGGAAGCUCAUUCCCAGCCUUUGGAAGCUCAUUCCUGGUCCUUGGAAGCUCAUUCCUGGUCCUUGGAAUCUCAUUCCUGGUCCUUGGAAGCUCAUUCCCAGCCUUUGGAAGCUCAUUCCUGGUCCGUGGAAGCUCAUUCCUGGUCCUUGGAAUCUCAUUCCUGGUCUUUGGAAGCUCAUUCCUGGUCCUUGGAAUCUCAUUCUUGGUCCUUGGAAUCUCAUUCCUGGUCCUUGGAAUCUCAUUCCUGGUCCUUGGAAGCUCAUUCCCAGCCUUUGGAAUCUCAUUCCCAGCCUUUGGAAUCUCAUUCCUGGUCCUUGGAAUCUCAUUCCUGGUCCUUGGAAGCUCAUUCCCAGCCUUUGGAAUCUCAUUCCUGGUCCUUGGAAUCUCAUUCCCGGCCUUUGGAAUCUCAUUCCUGGUCCUUGGAAUCUCAUUCCUGGUCUUUGGAAUCUCAUUCCUGGUCCUUGGAAUCUCAUUCCUGGUCCUUGGAAUCUCAUUCCUGGUCCUUGGAAGCUCAUUCCUGGUCCUUGGAAGCUCAUUCCUGGUCCUUGGAAGCUCAUUCCUGGUCCUUGGAAGCUCAUUCCUGGUCCUUGGAAUCUCAUUCCUGGUCCUUGGAAGCUCAUUCCUGGUCCUUGGAAGCUCAUUCCCAGCCUUUGGAAGCUCAUUCCUGGUCCCUCACCUCAGAAUAGAAACCAAAAAAAUCCUGGAAGUGGAAGCAAAAAUUGUGGGAUUUGA